Molecule: ribosomal RNA, 197 nt
Filed under: uncultured bacterium
Lineage: Bacteria
Description: partial 16S ribosomal RNA
Rfam family: Bacterial small subunit ribosomal RNA
Source: RNAcentral
ACUCCUACGGGAGGCAGCAGUAGGGAAUCUUCCGCAAUGGGCGAAAGCCUGACGGAGCAACGCCGCGUGAGUGAUGAAGGUCUUCGGAUCGUAAAACUCUGUUAUUAGGGAAGAACAAAUGUGUAAGUAACUAUGCACGUCUUGACGGUACCUAAUCAGAAAGCCACGGCUAACUACGUGCCAGCAGCCGCGGUAAU